RNAcentral lists this long non-coding RNA (456 nucleotides) under Phoenix dactylifera (date palm). RNAcentral describes it as "long non-coding RNA (PDAC_LNC023042)". Lineage: Eukaryota; Viridiplantae; Streptophyta; Magnoliopsida; Arecales; Arecaceae. The record is from RNAcentral.
GGGUGCACCGAACCACUAUAUGUCCUUUGUGUUUGUAAUGCCUCUAGUUAUUGUCUAACUAACACACUUACUUACUUAGAUAAAUUGCUUGCUUAAUUCUUAUCCGCACAUCCUUUAGUUGCAAGCAUAUUUAAUCAAGUCGAAGUCUAUACAUCAAACCCUUGCUAAGUUUAACUUUCACUGUGCAUCUAUACAACUUAGCAUAGUUAAUCAAAAAGUUUUAGAAGUAGCAUAAAAGUUUUGAAAGACCCAAUUCACCCCCCCUCUUGGCUUGUAUCUACUGGGCACCAAGUGGUAUCAGAGCAGGUGCUCAAAUAUUAUUUGUAGUCUUAACCGACCAGAGCCAAAGAUCAUGACAACUCAAAUAGAUAGUUUUCUAGGAGAAGGACAAUCAAUUAAUACACCUCCACUAUUUAAUGGCAUAAACUAUACACAUUGGAAAAUACGCAUGCACAU